CCUACGGGAGGCAGCAGUGGGGAAUAUUGCACAAUGGGGGAAACCCUGAUGCAGCGACGCCGCGUGAGUGAAGAAGGAUGUCGGGAUGUAAAGCUCUAGCAGCAGGGAAGAAAAUGACGGUACCUGAGUAAGAAGCCCCGGCUAACUACGGGCCAGCAGCCGCGGUAAUACGUAGGGGGCAAGCGUUAUCCGGAUUUACUGGGUGUAACGGGAGCGUAGACGGCAGCACCAGUCUGGAGUGAAAUGCCGGGGCUUAACCCCGGAACUGCUUUGGAAACGGUGCAGCUAGAGUGCAGGCGAGGUCAGUUGACUUCCUCGUGUAGCGGUGACCUGCGUAGCUAUU
RNAcentral lists this ribosomal RNA (343 nucleotides) under uncultured bacterium. RNAcentral's name for it is "partial 16S ribosomal RNA". It matches the Rfam family "Bacterial small subunit ribosomal RNA", at positions 338 to 698 of the family's 1533-position model. The record is from RNAcentral.